GACGAACGCUGGCGGCGCGCCUAAUACAUGCAAGUCGAACGGACACCUUCGGGUGUUAGUGGCGGACGGGUGAGUAACACGUGGGCGACCUGCCUUCGAGUGGGGAAUAACGCUGGGAAACCAGCGCUAAUACCGCAUACGCUCGCUCCUUCGUGGGAGCGAGGAAAGCUUGAUGCGCUCGAAGAGGGGCCUGCGGCGGAUUAGCUAGUCGGUGGGGUAACGGCCUACCGAGGCGACGAUCCGUAGCUGGUCUGAGAGGAUGAUCAGCCACACUGGGACUGAGACACGGCCCAGACUCCUACGGGAGGCAGCAGUAAGGAAUCUUCCGCAAUGGGGGCAACCCUGACGGAGCGACGCCGCGUGGAUGAAGAAGCCUUUCGGGGUGUAAAAUCCUUUUCUCGGGGAUGAGAUGGACAGUACCCGAGGAAGAAGCCUCGGCUAACUACGUGCCAGCAGCCGCGGUAAUACGUAGGAGGCGAGCGUUGUCCGGAAUUACUGGGUGUAAAGCGCGUGUAGGUGGCAGGCCAAGUCUGUGGUGAAAUCACCCGGCUCAACUGGGCGGGGUCCAUGGAAACUGGUCAGCUGGAGGACGGUAGAGGCGAGUGGAAUUCCCGGUGUAGUGGUGAAAUGCGUAGAGAUCGGGAGGAACACCAGUGGCGAAGGCGGCUCGCUGGGCCGGUCCUGACACUGAGACGCGAAGGCGUGGGGAGCGAACGGGAUUAGAUACCCCGGUAGUCCACGCAGUAAACGAUGCACACUAGGUGUGGGGGGUAUCGAGCCCCUCCGUGCCGUAGCUAACGCAGUAAGUGUGCCACCUGGGGAGUACGGCCGCAAGGUUA
RNAcentral lists this ribosomal RNA (839 nucleotides) under uncultured bacterium. RNAcentral's name for it is "bacterial SSU rRNA". It matches the Rfam family "Bacterial small subunit ribosomal RNA", at positions 28 to 896 of the family's 1533-position model. The record is from RNAcentral.